Long non-coding RNA from Papaver somniferum (opium poppy), 555 nucleotides. RefSeq lists it as uncharacterized. The transcript has 3 exons. Lineage: Eukaryota; Viridiplantae; Streptophyta; Magnoliopsida; Ranunculales; Papaveraceae. The record is from RefSeq and is a predicted model, not a curated record.
AGAUGUCAGAUUGAUAGAUUUGGAGUGAAGAGAAGUACCAAGUAAUGAUCCAGGAGGCUUGAUCAUUGAAAGAUAAUCGGCACAAGUGGAAAGGGGAUCUGUUUACUGCAAGUUGAGGCAAGUUUAUUCGGUCCUUUAGUCUCCGACAGAUGUAGAAUCGGCGAUUGAAUAAUUCUUAAACUGUGUGGCUUAUUUAUGAAUUUAAAGUAAGAGAAGAUUCUAGUUUGGCUUUAGAGGGUGUUCUCUCUGGUACAUGUCACCAAAUUACCCGCAGUUUGAUAAGGCUGUGCCAACAGAUAUGAAUUUGAAAGAUCCAGUUCUGGAUUGGUUGCACUUGAGCAUCCUGUACCUGUUGUCUUGGGAUAUUAGCUCAACUGAUACAAGGGUUCAAGUUCACUGACAUGAGAGGAUUCGGUUGAUGCUCAUGCGGUGGAAGAUGAUGGAGAAUUUAAAGAAUCAAGUUUGACUUUGAGGGUUUAAUCAUGGUAAUGUCAAAAGCCAAAUAGAAGUUGAUUUAACUACACGCCAAAAGCUGCAGUUUGAGGUACAAAGAAC